This 578-nucleotide long non-coding RNA is filed under the name Piliocolobus tephrosceles (Ugandan red Colobus). Its description in RNAcentral is "lncRNA (ENSPTEG00000026800.1)". Lineage: Eukaryota; Metazoa; Chordata; Mammalia; Primates; Cercopithecidae. The record is from RNAcentral.
CCUCACCUAUUGGCUGAGGGCCCUCAGUCUAGGCAUGGCAACAUCUCCGCUUCGCACAUCUGUCUCUGAGUCCCAGGCUUGCUUGAGCCAGUUUACCCAUUACUUACAGCCGGAGGUGCCACCCAGCUGGUGAGUAGGACAGUCUGUAGCUGCUUCCUCCUGUACAAGGGGUGUUUGGAAUUCCAUACACAGAGAAUGAGGUGGGUUUCACUGGAGCCACUCCCGGACACAGGAAUGAUCAGAAGGCAGAGUGACCAGAGACAAGAGGGAGGGCUGGCAGCCUCCUGUGGGGAGACGGCGGGGCAGAUGCUGGUGAGCGGAAGCGAAGGUACAGCAACCCAGGCAGCUUCAUCUCCAGGCCUGGCUACUGAAGUGCGGCCUCCAGCAAGGCUCUCCCAAGUCCCAUGGAAGACUCCAGAACAAUGGGAAGAAUGCUUGUUGCAUUUCGCCAAGUUGCUCUCAGCUUUUUCCUGCCUGUGUGCCAUCUUUCUGCAAACCACCAGCACUGGCCGCCUUGCACAGCGAUAAUCAGCCUGUCAGUCAAUAAACUGAAGAUGUUGGUAGUGCGCUGGGAUUGG